This is a long non-coding RNA of Cygnus atratus (black swan), 2664 nucleotides long. RefSeq lists it as uncharacterized. The record is from RefSeq and is a predicted model, not a curated record. The transcript is spliced from 3 exons. NCBI's taxonomy places the organism in Eukaryota, Metazoa, Chordata, Aves, Anseriformes, Anatidae.
UGCGGGGCUCGGGAGCCCCCCGGCUGCUCAGAUAGCGCGGGGGAAGGAGGAGGGUGGGGGGCUGUCCUCAGCCGCCCCUCCCGCGUGGUACCGGGCGGUGUUCCUUACGGGGGAGCUGCACACGCCGGGAGCUCCGGCAGCACCUGGCUGCGUUUUGGGAUGCCUCUGGCUUUAGUUUUGCACCCUCCUAGCAUCGCAACGUUUUGGGGCGUCCUUAUGUCUCCGGCUGGAUUUGGCUGCCCUGAAUCUGGGUUACCGUGGCGUUUACUCUCUCACACCGAGUCUCAAUCUCGUUCUGCAGGCUGCAAAGCACAAACUGAAGUGCUGAGAGGCCAAGCUACAAGAAACGCAGUUGUCAGAGACAGUGGGAGGAAUAUUUUAGUAAAGAGGAUGUCAUAAGUACGUGAACCCUCAGCCAGGAAGUGAGAAGGUGCCCUGGAUUCAAUUCAAAGACGGCUUCAGAAGUUACAACCUGAGAAGGUGGAGACGGAUGGCACUCUGUAGGCCAGUCUUACUGCCAAAGCCAUCACCUUACCUAACUGUAUUUCUUCAAAAUCCCGUCUUCAUCAUGGACAACACCCAGAUAGUUUACCGGCAAAGUAAACGAAGAGCACAUCUUUAAUAAUCUUCUGGCUCAAACUGCACUACAGCACAGAAGAGCUGUGCUGUAUGAGCUGCCUGUGCGCAGCCCCACCAGUCCUUAGCCCGUGAGAAGAACGCCACGAAGCAGCGGCACACCUUGUCAGCCUGUUGAUAGCUUAGCACAGACAGUGAUUCAAGACAUUUGGAAAAAUGUUGCACGUUGCUAGUCAAACUAAUAGAAAUUCAUACUGACGGUUCUUCAAAUGAAACAAAACUGCAUUCUUGCCCUUUCUCUGGAAAAGAUACUUUACAGGGAAUAAAACCUUUUUUGAAGGUUUUCCAUUCACUCUCACCACUUAUUACUUCAGCCUUCUCAUUUCUGGUGUCCUUUUUCAAGCACCGGAGUUUGCCAGCAGGUUAUUGCACACUUUAGGAGACUAUAGUCUGCCUUGAGUCAGAAUUGUUACUGUAAAAUUAACUGCUGUCAUUGACACCUACAGCCUCCUUCGAGAUCAGUCGUACAAGCGCUGUUUCCUUUUCCGUUGUGAGUAACAUAUGUUUUCAGUUCUCAUUUGUAUUACUAAACAAAGGGUUUCAGAUUCUAACUCAAACCAUCUUUCAAAAUUAAAUUAGCUAAAGCCUUAAUUAGCCAGCACUGAUCAGAACAGAUUGCAGUGACUGCACAUGCUACUCCAGUCUAUCUCUUCAUUAAAAAGCUGCCAGCUUUUAAGGAAAAAAAAAGUAAUCAGAGACUAUUUUCCAUCUUAGUAGACCUCGGAAUUGUCUGAGGGGAAGCAGAAUGAUUGUAGUAAUAACCAAGAACCUCUGUAAUCCCUUCCUAGAUUCUUUCUCACUGAUUAACUGUUUUGAAAGUAAGGCAGACCUUAAAGGAAAAAUAAGCUAAACCAUUUGGUAAUGUAUGCCCCCACACAGGGGUAUGUCAGAAAUCUCUUCCACUUUUUUCCUUUGUGGAAAAACUGGUAGCCUGAUUCUUCUCUACUCUGUUUUUUGGAGACCAUAAAACCACGAAAGUCAUCAAAAUUACAUUGACGUAGAAUGUGCUAACGUCAUUAAGGACCAAUUCUUCAAAUGAGCCCAAAGGUCAGAUACUAUAAUAAAAAAUGUAAAUAUGCAGGAGUGCCAUUUUCUGAAAUUAAAAUUUCUUUUAACUAAUACAUUUCCUUUAAAAUGGUCACUAAAAUUGGUGUCUGGAAUGUAAAGCCAUCCAUUUUCUUACACAACAGGUAGGCAGCAGAACUACAAACAGAUCUGGAAGUCUCAAUGCUCUUCUGAGAGGACUGGUUUGAAAAGCAACUCAUGAUCCUGAUCUCUCUGUCCCAGUUAAAAACAUUAAAUGUAUACAGAGAUAGAACUGGACUAAGACUAUGUGUAUAUAUAUAUGGUCUUAAAUAUACAUACAUAUAUCUUAAGAUCUUUUGAAAUAGGUAUACUUCAGACCAGGACACCUCCAUCACAUUGAGUACAUUGGCGCGGGUUAGACGUCCUGCUACCAGUGUCCAUCUCCAUAGCCUUUGCUUGUCUGAUUGCCACUAGCGUCCUACCACUGUAUUAUGUUACAUGACAAAUUUGUAUUUAAUUUUAUACUGUAUGUUCUAUUCUGGUAUUUCUGUUACGAUUAAAUUGAGUUCAAGACAGUCCCUUGGCUGAACAGAAUGAAAGGGUCUGGAAUGCUCCUUUGUACCACACCAUUUCAGUUGCUCUUCGACAGAGUCGAAUCGACACACCAUUUCAGUUGCUCUUCGACAGAGUCGAAUUACUAUCUGCCUAAUAAUUGCAGGGUUUGGUGUCUGCUCUCCCAGAUCCUUGCAAUCCUCAACACCAAAAAUCUCUGACAAAGACAGAUGCAUUUGCUGCAUCAUUCUGCAGGGUACCAAAAUGGUCCAUACGGAUACCCUCCGUGAGCAGGAUAUCAAAGUAAAGCGCUGGUUCUCAGCCUUGGCACCAGCUGAUGCCACCCCCUCGCUUCUAUGCCCUGCAGGACUGCACACACUGCCUCCUUGCUCUCCCAGUCACCCUCAGCAUCUUUGUGCCCUGCUUUUUCUUGUCUGUGGGGCUGCUCCU